Molecule: transfer RNA, 71 nt
Filed under: bacterium
Lineage: Bacteria
Description: tRNA-Gln
Rfam family: tRNA
About the family: Transfer RNA (tRNA) molecules are approximately 80 nucleotides in length. Their secondary structure includes four short double-helical elements and three loops (D, anti-codon, and T loops). Further hydrogen bonds mediate the characteristic L-shaped molecular structure. tRNAs have two regions of fundamental functional importance: the anti-codon, which is responsible for specific mRNA codon recognition, and the 3' end, to which the tRNAs corresponding amino acid is attached (by aminoacyl-tRNA synthetases). tRNAs cope with the degeneracy of the genetic code in two manners: having more than one tRNA (with a specific anti-codon) for a particular amino acid; and 'wobble' base-pairing, i.e. permitting non-standard base-pairing at the 3rd anti-codon position.
Source: RNAcentral
UCCGGAAUCGUCUAAUGGUAGGACACAUCCCUCUGGAGGAUGGGAUUGGGGUUCGACUCCCUGUUCCGGAA